GUCUUUAGCUCAGUUGGUUAGAGCACCUCACUUUUAAUGAGGGAGUCGAUGGUUCGAGUCCAUCAAGAC
Molecule: transfer RNA, 69 nt
Filed under: zebrafish metagenome
Rfam family: tRNA
About the family: Transfer RNA (tRNA) molecules are approximately 80 nucleotides in length. Their secondary structure includes four short double-helical elements and three loops (D, anti-codon, and T loops).
Source: RNAcentral